Molecule: ribosomal RNA, 1339 nt
Filed under: Notocotylus sp. CMA-2020
Lineage: Eukaryota; Metazoa; Platyhelminthes; Trematoda; Plagiorchiida; Notocotylidae
Description: partial large subunit ribosomal RNA
Rfam family: Eukaryotic large subunit ribosomal RNA
Source: RNAcentral
UAUCACUAAGCGGAGGAAAAGAAACUAACAAGGAUUCCCUUAGUAACUGCGAGUGAACAGGGAUGAGCCCAGCACCGAAGCCUGUGGUCAUUUGAUCACUAGGCAAUGUGGUGUUUAGGUUAUCUCGCAGAGGCACUGCUCCACCCUAAGUCCAAAAAUGAGUACGGUAGUACGGACAUGGCCCAAAGAGGGUGAAAGGCCCGUGGGGGUGGAGAUCAGGCAGGCCAGUGCUUCUCUGAGCAAACCUUUGAGUCGGGUUGUUUGAGAUUGCAGCCCAAAGUGGGUGGUAAACUCCAUCCAAGGCUAAAUACGUGCACGAGUCCGAUAGCGAACAAGUACCGUGAGGGAACGUUGAAAAGUACUUUGAAGAGAGAGUAAACAGUGCGUGAAACCGCUCAGAGGUAAACGGGUGGAGUUGAACUGCGAACCCUGAGAAUUCAACUGGUGAGUGUGGUAUGAGCUUGGCAUGAUGGUUGGCUCUGCGGGUCUGCUUAGCUGCAGGUCUUCGCCUUCUGGUGGAGAUGCGCGAUACACUUGCCAAGUGUUGCGCGCUCGUUGAGUUACUCGGACAUGCUUGCCAGUGCACUUUCUCGGGGUGUUCACCACGACCGGCGCCGCUACUUGUCCAGUAUGGUUAAACCGGUCUUGCUUGGUCCUUGUGGCUUUGCUUGAUCGGGACGGCAGGUAACUCGUUGACUUGUGUGUUGGCCUCGGUUGACAUGCGCUUGGUUUUCGAGUGUAAUCAGCUGACUGUAUUGGUGCUAUGUGGUGCGUCGGAGACGGCGGCUUGUGGUGUGUGCCUGCGUGCCUAUUUGCUGACGGAACCGGGCUUGGUUGUUAUGUUGCCUGUUCUGCAGGCCUGGUGAUGGCUCGGUUUCGCUUGGUGGAUGGGAGCGUGUGUGACACUUAUCAGGGCCUAUAGUCUGUGGUGUUGUGGUAGACUAUCCACCUGACCCGUCUUGAAACACGGACCAAGGAGAGUAACAUGUGCGCGAGUCAUGGGGUGUUACGAAACCCAAAGGCGAAGUGAAAGUAAAGACUUGACUUGUUCGAGUUGAGGUGAGAUCCUGUCGUUUCUCAUGCGCGGUACUUCCAAGCAUUCGAGCGAUGGGCGCAUCACCGGCCCGUCCCAUGGUGUGGUCACUGUCUUCGGAUUGGUGCGUCACCGGGGCGGAGCAUGAGCGCACAUGUUGAGACCCGAAAGAUGGUGAACUAUGCUUGCGCAGGUUGAAGCCAGAGGAAACUCUGGUGGAGGACCGUAGCGAUUCUGACGUGCAAAUCGAUCGUCAAACGUGAGUAUAGGGGCAAAAGACUAAUCGAACCAUCUAGUAGCUGGUUA